RNAcentral lists this unclassified non-coding RNA (334 nucleotides) under uncultured fungus. RNAcentral's name for it is "partial contains 5.8S ribosomal RNA and internal transcribed spacer 2". The stretch from base 1 to 133 matches the Rfam family "5.8S ribosomal RNA", at positions 22 to 154 of the family's 154-position model. Lineage: Eukaryota; Fungi. The record is from RNAcentral.
UGGCUCUGGCAUCGAUGAAGAACGCAGCGAAAUGCGAUAAGUAAUGCGAAUUGCAGAUCUCAGUGAGUCAUCGAAUCUUUGAACGCACAUUGCGCCCUCUAGUAUCCUGGAGGGCAUGCCUGUUCGAGCGUCACUACAACACUCAAGCUCUGCUUGGCGUUGGGGUUAUACGGCGGAUUAUCUGCCGUAUGCCCUCAAAAUCAGUUGGCGGGACCGCGAGGAAACCGGACGAAGUAGAAAUUACAGCGUCAAGGGAUACCGAGCUUGGCCUCUAGCCAUUAAACUCAUUUUUAUAACCAGUGUUGACCUCGGAUCAGGUAGGAAUACCCGCUGA